UCCAUGAUUGAGAUCCCACCAUUAUCAUGAUAAAUUUAUGUCAAACUUGUUGCGGCCAAUCCCCUCGUCGUCUGAUCACCGGAAGCGAGCGCCUGCAAAAGAAGUCCACACUAAUCGGAGGUGACUCCGGCGGAGACCCUCAUGGUCAAGUCAGAGAGGAGACUAGGCAACAGUAGAAAAGAAUCAAGGAGAAGAAGAAAGAGGACUACGAGGAAGCA
RNAcentral lists this long non-coding RNA (218 nucleotides) under Elaeis guineensis (African oil palm). RNAcentral describes it as "long non-coding RNA (EGUI_LNC067325)". Lineage: Eukaryota; Viridiplantae; Streptophyta; Magnoliopsida; Arecales; Arecaceae. The record is from RNAcentral.